RNAcentral lists this transfer RNA (68 nucleotides) under Holcosus undulatus cf. parvus. RNAcentral's name for it is "tRNA-Trp". The record is from RNAcentral. Lineage: Eukaryota; Metazoa; Chordata; Lepidosauria; Squamata; Teiidae.
GAAAUAUAGGUUAAAUAUAUAACCAUGGACCUUCAAAGCCCAAACUGCGAAUAUAUUCGCUAUUUCUG